This 539-nucleotide ribosomal RNA is filed under the name Glypturus armatus. RNAcentral describes it as "partial large subunit ribosomal RNA". It matches the Rfam family "Archaeal large subunit ribosomal RNA", at positions 1908 to 2694 of the family's 2987-position model. The record is from RNAcentral. Lineage: Eukaryota; Metazoa; Arthropoda; Malacostraca; Decapoda; Callianassidae.
GUCUGCUCGUUACCAAGAGCAGUCUGACCUGCCCACUGAUAUUUGAAUUUAAAGGCCGCGGUAUCCUGACCGUGCGAAGGUAGCAUAAUAAUUAGUCUUUUAAUUGAAGACUGGAAUGAAAGGUCGGACAAAAAGCAAACUGUCUCAGCUCUUUCCCUUGAAAUUUACUUUUAAGUGAAAAGGCUUAAAUAAACCUAAAGGACGACAAGACCCUAUAAAACUUCAUAUCCAUAUAACUAGUCGCCUAAUUGUUUGUGAAAACUCGCCUAAUUAUGUGAGUAUUGCGUUGGGGAGACGAGAGUAUAAUAAAUAACUGCUCUCUUAUAUCAACAAAAAUUUUUGAAUCUAUGACCCUUUUUCAAGAUCUAAAGAAAAAGUUACUUUAGGGAUAACAGCGUAAUUUUUUUUAAGAGUUCUUAUCGACAAAAAAGUUUGCGACCUCGAUGUUGAAUUAAAAUUUCCUUAUAGUGCAGCAAUUAUAAAGGUAGGUCUGUUCGACCUUUAAAAUUUUACAUGAUUUGAGUUCAAACCGGCGCGAG